Molecule: non-coding RNA, 91 nt
Organism: Lasiosphaeria hispida
Lineage: Eukaryota; Fungi; Ascomycota; Sordariomycetes; Sordariales; Lasiosphaeriaceae
Source: the annotation of a GenBank genome assembly
GGGCGCGUGGUUUAGGGGUAUAACGUUCGCUUCGCAUGUUCAGUACAACAUAUGAUGUGAAAGGUCCGGGGUUCAAUUCCCCGCGUGUCCA